This 501-nucleotide ribosomal RNA is filed under the name uncultured Sedimentibacter sp. Its description in RNAcentral is "bacterial SSU rRNA". It matches the Rfam family "Bacterial small subunit ribosomal RNA", at positions 1 to 520 of the family's 1533-position model. The record is from RNAcentral. Lineage: Bacteria; Bacillati; Bacillota; Tissierellia.
CGCCCUUGAGUUUGAUCAUGGCUCAGGACGAACGCUGGCGGCGUGCCUAACACAUGCAAGUCGAACGAAGUAUAUUUUCGGAUAUGCUUAGUGGCGGACGGGUGAGUAACGCGUGAACAAUCUGCCCUAUACACAGGAAUAGCCUCGGGAAACUGGGAUUAAAACCGGAUAACACUUUUGAGCCGCAUGGCAUGGAAGUCAAAUUGAUUUAGAGGUAUAGGAUGAGUUCGCGUCUGAUUAGCUAGUUGGUGAGGUAACGGCUCACCAAGGCGACGAUCAGUAGCCGGCCUGAGAGGGUGAACGGCCACACUGGAACUGAGACACGGUCCAGACUCCUACGGGAGGCAGCAGUGGGGAAUAUUGCACAAUGGAGGAAACUCUGAUGCAGCGACGCCGUUUUUUUUAAGAAGGUCUUCGGAUCGUAAAACUCUGUCCUUGGUGACGAAAAAAUGACGGUAGCCAAGGAGGAAGCCCCGGCUAACUACGUGCCAGCAGCCGCGG